RNAcentral lists this ribosomal RNA (484 nucleotides) under uncultured bacterium. RNAcentral's name for it is "partial 16S ribosomal RNA". It matches the Rfam family "Bacterial small subunit ribosomal RNA", at positions 30 to 507 of the family's 1533-position model. The record is from RNAcentral.
AUUGAACGCUGGCGGCAGGCCUAACACAUGCAAGUCGAGCGGAUGAAGGGAGCUUGCUCCUGGAUUCAGCGGCGGACGGGUGAGUAAUGCCUAGGAAUCUGCCUGGUUGUGGGGGAUAACGUCCGGAAACGGGCGCUAAUACCGCAUACGUCCAGCGCGAGAAAGUGGGGGAUCUUCGGACCUCACGCUAUCAGAUGAGCCUAGGUCGGAUUAGCUAGUUGUUGGGGUAAAGGCCUACCAAGGCGACGAUCCGUAACUGGUCUGAGAGGAUGAUCAGCCACACUGGAACUGAGACACGGUCCAGACUCCUACGGGAGGCAGCAGUGGGGAAUAUUGGACAAGGGGCGAAAGCCUGACCCAGACAUGCCGCGUGGGUGAAGAAGGUCUUCGGAUGGUAAAGCACUUUAAGUGGGGAGGAAGGGCAGUAAGUUAAUACCUUGCUGUUUUGACGGUACCAACAGAAUAAGCACCGGCUAACUUCGUG